This 72-nucleotide transfer RNA is filed under the name Candidatus Brocadiaceae bacterium. Its description in RNAcentral is "tRNA-Cys". It matches the Rfam family "tRNA". From Rfam's summary of the family: Transfer RNA (tRNA) molecules are approximately 80 nucleotides in length. Their secondary structure includes four short double-helical elements and three loops (D, anti-codon, and T loops). RNAcentral also lists the same sequence under 3 other names. Lineage: Bacteria; Pseudomonadati; Planctomycetota; Candidatus Brocadiia; Candidatus Brocadiales; Candidatus Brocadiaceae. The record is from RNAcentral.
GGCGGCUUAGCCAAGUGGUAAGGCAACGGUUUGCAAAACCGUAAUUCCUGGGUUCGAAUCCCAGAGCCGCCU